Molecule: unclassified non-coding RNA, 240 nt
Filed under: soil metagenome
Description: partial contains 5.8S ribosomal RNA, internal transcribed spacer 2, and large subunit ribosomal RNA
Source: RNAcentral
AACCAUAGAAACCUGCGGAGUACCUGCGGAGGGAUCAUUACACAAUACAAUAUGAAGGCUGUCCGCAGCUGGAGUAUUUUAUUACCCUCGUCUUUUGCGCACUUGUUGUUUCCUGGGCGGGUUCGCUCGCCACCAGGACCACCAAAUAAACCUUUUUUAUGCAGUUGCAAUCAGCGUCAGUACAAACAAUGUAAAUCAUUUACAACUUUCAACAACGGAUCUCAGAUCGGAAGAGCACAC